RNAcentral lists this transfer RNA (69 nucleotides) under uncultured Isochrysis. It matches the Rfam family "tRNA". Rfam says of the family: Transfer RNA (tRNA) molecules are approximately 80 nucleotides in length. Their secondary structure includes four short double-helical elements and three loops (D, anti-codon, and T loops). The record is from RNAcentral. Lineage: Eukaryota; Haptophyta; Isochrysidales.
GCCUGUGGCUUAGUUUGGUCAAAGCGUCCCGUUUACACCGGGAAGAUCGCGAGUUCGAGUCUCGCCGGG